GACGAACGCUGGCGGCGUGCUUAACACAUGCAAGUCGAACGGAAAGGCCCUGCGUUUGUGGGGUGCUCGAGUGGCGAACGGGUGAGUAACACGUGAGUAACCUGCCCUUGACUUUGGGAUAACUUCAGGAAACUGGGGCUAAUACCGGAUAGGAGCUCCUGCUGCAUGGUGGGGGUUGGAAAGAUUCGGCGGUUGGGGAUGGACUCGCGGCUUAUCAGCUUGUUGGUGGGGUAGUGGCUUACCAAGGCUUUGACGGGUAGCCGGCCUGAGAGGGUUACCGGCCACAUUGGGACUGCGAUACGGCCCAGACUCCUACGGGAGGCAGCAGUGGGGAAUAUUGCACAAUGGGCGGAAGCCUGAUGCAGCAACGCCGCGUGCGGGAUGACGGCCUUCGGGUUGUAAACCGCUUUCGCCUGUGACGAAGCGUGAGUGACGGUAAUGGGUAAAGAAGCACCGGCUAACUACGUG
This 468-nucleotide ribosomal RNA is filed under the name uncultured bacterium. RNAcentral's name for it is "partial 16S ribosomal RNA". It matches the Rfam family "Bacterial small subunit ribosomal RNA", at positions 28 to 507 of the family's 1533-position model. The record is from RNAcentral.